This 724-nucleotide ribosomal RNA is filed under the name uncultured bacterium. Its description in RNAcentral is "bacterial SSU rRNA". It matches the Rfam family "Bacterial small subunit ribosomal RNA", at positions 81 to 801 of the family's 1533-position model. The record is from RNAcentral.
UCCUUGGGUGACGAGUGGCGGACGGGUGAGUAAUGUCUGGGAAACUGCCCGAUGGAGGGGGAUAACUACUGGAAACGGUAGCUAAUACCGCAUAACGUCGCAAGACCAAAGAGGGGGACCUUCGGGCCUCUUGCCAUCGGAUGUGCCCAGAUGGGAUUAGCUAGUAGGUGGGGUAACGGCUCACCUAGGCGACGAUCCCUAGCUGGUCUGAGAGGAUGACCAGCCACACUGGAACUGAGACACGGUCCAGACUCCUACGGGAGGCAGCAGUGGGGAAUAUUGCACAAUGGGCGCAAGCCUGAUGCAGCCAUGCCGCGUGUAUGAAGAAGGCCUUCGGGUUGUAAAGUACUUUCAGCGAGGAGGAAGGCGUUGUGGUUAAUAACCGCAGCGAUUGACGUUACUCGCAGAAGAAGCACCGGCUAACUCCGUGCCAGCAGCCGCGGUAAUACGGAGGGUGCAAGCGUUAAUCGGAAUUACUGGGCGUAAAGCGCACGCAGGCGGUCUGUCAAGUCGGAUGUGAAAUCCCCGGGCUCAACCUGGGAACUGCAUCCGAAACUGGCAGGCUAGAGUCUUGUAGAGGGGGGUAGAAUUCCAGGUGUAGCGGUGAAAUGCGUAGAGAUCUGGAGGAAUACCGGUGGCGAAGGCGGCCCCCUGGACAAAGACUGACGCUCAGGUGCGAAAGCGUGNGGAGCAAACAGGAUUAGAUACCCUGGUAGUCCACGCC